RNAcentral lists this ribosomal RNA (177 nucleotides) under uncultured soil bacterium. Its description in RNAcentral is "partial 16S ribosomal RNA". It matches the Rfam family "Bacterial small subunit ribosomal RNA", at positions 26 to 211 of the family's 1533-position model. The record is from RNAcentral.
AGAUUGAACGCUGGCGGCAGGCCUAACACAUGCAAGUCGAGCGGUAGAGAGGUGCUUGCAUCUCUUGAGAGCGGCGGACGGGUGAGUAAUGCCUAGGAAUCUGCCUAGUGGUGGGGGAUAACGUUCGGAAACGGACGCUAAUACCGCAUACGUCCUACGGGAGAAAGCGGGGACCUU